RNAcentral lists this transfer RNA (73 nucleotides) under Loxodonta africana (African savanna elephant). It matches the Rfam family "tRNA". Rfam says of the family: Transfer RNA (tRNA) molecules are approximately 80 nucleotides in length. The record is from Rfam by way of RNAcentral. Lineage: Eukaryota; Metazoa; Chordata; Mammalia; Proboscidea; Elephantidae.
GGCCACGUGGCCUCAUGGGUAAGGCGUCUGAUACCAGAUCAGAAGACUGAGGCUUCAAGUCCCUUCGUGGUUG